This 2778-nucleotide long non-coding RNA is filed under the name Anolis carolinensis (green anole). RNAcentral describes it as "lncRNA (ENSACAG00000038902.1)". Lineage: Eukaryota; Metazoa; Chordata; Lepidosauria; Squamata; Anolidae. The record is from RNAcentral.
UGAGACAUUGGUGACAUUUUUUCAUUUUCCUAGGUACAGACCCUGGUGGGAGAAUGCAGCUUGCAAUAAUGCCAAGCUAUUCAUUGCGGUGUAUCGAACGGCAAGUUGAAGCAGUUCUUGGUUCAGUCUGAUUUGUAAUGGAGAUGAAGAUGUGUCAUUGGCAGAAAAGUCAUCUCUAUCAUAAAUGCCUCAUCACCAUUGGAUGGAAAUCAGGAUCAGAUGAAAAGGGGGCAAAGGAAUCCCAUCGAGGUAAUGCUGUGAAAGGAAAAAAUCAGGUUAGUGCUGUGUUUGGGGUCUUCCUUUUGCAAGAGAUGGCAGGAGACAGAGCUCUUGUGACAUGUUUGGAUGCCAAAACUGAGAAGGGGACUUUGAAGGGAGAUUCUUUUUCCUCAGCUUAACCAUGACCCACUGACAUUUGUGGGACAGGGUCUCCUAACUAAACUUUAGCCCACAAAUCUAUUUGUAGGCUGAAGCUGAUGCAGAAAAGGGUAAUUCAAGUGAUAAAUCCUUUAUCUUAUGAAGUGGGCUUAAGUCCACCAUGAAAGCUUAUGUCAAGAACCUUGUUAAUUUCUGAGACAGGCCUGAAUUGGGUCUUCCAGGGAUUUUGGAGGCUCAAAUGUGCCUACUCAUAGAAUUGGAAGAGCCCACAAGAGUCAUUCAGUUCAACCCUCUGCUAAGCAGGAAAACACAAUCAACGCAUGGCCAUCCAACAUCUCCUUAGAAACCGCCAAAGAAGGGGACUCCACCAUGCUCUGAGGGAUAUUCCACUGCUAAACUGCUGCUCCUUCCAUCUCCUUAUUGUUUGGAAACUUGAAAAUAAAUCCUCUGCUUCACAACUAAAAAUUAAAGUUGUCAGAUUGUAAACUGGAGAGGGUUCUUGUAGCUGUACUGAACAUGUAAGAAGUACUUAUCACACAAUCAAAUGACUAGCAAUUCUUCACAAAAUUUCCUUUCCUAUAAAACCAUUAAGGGUUUAAGACCCCUCUCCAAUUUUCCCACUGGCCACCCUACUAUAAUAGUAUUGUUUCAGGCCCACAAAAGGGCAUUUUAGGAAAUCCAAUGAGUGACCUUGGACAAGUCAUAGUUAUAAGAAGGUAGGUUUCAAUUGAAUGUGGUUUGGCAAUAUAAUUAAUUACCUAGAGAUGGCGAGGACUCUUAUUUGGGGAUAUCUUCAAAAAGAGGUUGAACAAUUACCUGCUGAGGAUGCUCUGGUUAGUGGUUUUGAACUGAGUUACAGAUUGGAUCUGAUAGCUCAUGAGGCUCCUUCCAAUUCUUUAAUUCUAUACCAUAAGUCAAAGCUGAGUUGAUGCCAAAUAACAGCAAGUACUGCUACAAUGAUAACAACAACUUCUUGAAACUAUGCAAACAUUUGUGGAAUUUGCAGUCUGAAGAUGUGGCUGUAGUGCACAAAUCUGACCACUUUUAUGGUAAGUUGCAUAAAUGUUGUAUUUCUAUUUGUUUUAUGUAAAGUAUCCAUAGUAUAUGAGGUUAUCAAUGAUGAACUGACAUAAUGUACUCUCCUGUUUUACCAGAAAUAGUGUUCCCUGGAUUUCUGGAAAGCCUGAGCAGCAAAUGCACUUCUGUACUGAUGCCCCGAUGGUAGGCUUCUCCAAGGCAGAAAACUGAACACUUUGUGAACAGAAUGCUGGAUUAGUUACAUCUAAUUCAGUAUAACAAUUCCCACAUUAUUAACAGCAUUGCAAUGUUCUCAUUUGAUAGGGAAUGAGGGCAUGCAUAGAGGUCAGAGAAGGAUUGCUGUUGUUGUCGAUAGGUGCCUUCAAGUCUGUUUCACCCCAGGGCAAUCCUAUCCUAGGGUUUUCUUGGCAAGAUUCAGUCAAAGCGUUAUCAUUGCCUUCCUCUAAGACAGAAAGUAUAACUUGGCUGAGGUCACUUAGGUGGGUUUCAUGGCAGAAUAAGGAUUUAAACCCUUGUCUCUGGUUUAGGAAAAUGGAUAUUCCCUUGCAGUAAGAAUUCUGACACCAUCAUUUUCCUUUAUUUUUCAGAUUCCAAGCUUUGAAAAAGUCAGACUCUGAAAAUCCUGCACUCUUCCAUAUGCUGUGUUCACAUACCCUGGGUAUACCCUCAUCUGAAAUUGACCACAUUGGCCUGGUAAAGGGAAAAUGGUAUACAAACCAAGAAAAUAAUGAACCUAUCAAGACAACCACAAAUUUUCUAAAAUAAAAAUAAAUACAAACAACCUUCUUAGAAAGUUAGAUGCUUGCAGGGUUACAGAACACACACACACACACACACACACACAAACACACAUCACUUCUAGGCUGCUCUGUUUGUAUUAAUUGAAAUUCCAUUGUGGGCCCUGUGCUAUUUCUUUCAGCUCCAAUAAAGGUUCAUUGCAAUUAGGCUUUUCUGCUUUCACAGCUCUCCCUGCUUUGACAUAAAAGAUUAAGCACUUCUGGUCUAUAUGAUGCAAAAUAAUACAUUAUGGUUAAGUUACGAAAGAAGACAGAAACAAAGGGAAAUGCAUUCAGUCCAGAUGGUGUCAUUCUCCUUUAGAGCCCCAUAUACAGCCAUUCACCCCCAGUUUAUUAAUCGAGACGACUCUUGUGCAUAGAUUAGAGAUGAUGCGGAAUGGUUCCUCCUCACUAUAUUUUAAAAUGGAUGAUGAUUUCCAACCCACCAACUCCAAAUUGAUGCACCUUCUAUUUGACACAAUUGCCUGUAGCUUCUGAUUAACUGAUAUGUAACCUAUCCAUGUGUUAUUUUAAUUGCUCCCUUCUGCAUUCAAAAAAUAUUAUCUAUAUGGGACUGGUUGAGAUA